Molecule: long non-coding RNA, 6178 nt
Filed under: Homo sapiens (human)
Lineage: Eukaryota; Metazoa; Chordata; Mammalia; Primates; Hominidae
Description: non-protein coding B3GALT5-AS1:1
Source: RNAcentral
CGUGCGCGGGGCAGCCCCGGCAGGCCCAGUCGGGCUGGAAGCCGCCGCUGGCUCAGAGCCGCAUCCCGGCCCGCGGACGCAGGGGGCGCGCGGCCGGUCCCCGGAGGCGCUGGGUCCAGGCCGAGGAUGGUUUUGCUCCCCGCUCCGCUCCGCAUUUAGGAGGUGGGAGGAGCGCGCGGCGAUGCGCACAGGAAAUCUGAUAGGUGAGGAGGCCGGCGGGCCGCGCAGGGCGGCGCGGGCUGGGGGACGCGGCGGGCGGCUCCGGGAGGCGACGGGACCCCCAGGCCGGCAGCCGAGUGAAGAGGCAGGAACUGUCUACAAAUGCUCCGGCUCCGAAGCCCCGAGGGAAAGAGCAUCUUUCACGGAGCACCAGGAAUUGACGACGGUGGAAUUUGCUCAGAUCCCCUGAGGCCGGUUCUUUGAGUUUCUGUCUGGCCCUCCGGGAGAACCGUCCCAAAGUUAACUUUGAAAACACUCACAGGAGAGGGAAGGCUGUGGGGUCCUUCGCUUCUCAAACCCCAGAUGCCCCCGGAAAGAACACCGCCCCCGACCACCACCACAACCAGAUGUUUUUAAAAAGAGAUGCUAAGCAAAAGGCCUGAUUAUGAGGAAUGAGCCAAAGUCAUGCAAGGCGUGGGGCGCUAUGGGACUGCGCAGUGACGACCCAGUGAAGUAGAUGCCUUGACGAUUCCCAUUUCACGGAUGAGACGACUCCGGCACAGAGAAGUCAGAGGGCCUGUCCUGGGUCACACAGCCACAGGCGGCCCCCAGAACGGGACUUCAGGGUGCACCACUGCACCCCAGCAGAGACCUCCGCCUGGCACACAGGGAAUGCUGGAGCAAUACUUAAAUAGAGCAUGGCAGCUUUUCGUGUUUGGAAGCCUUCAGAAUCAUUUCCUACCCUCUCAAGGAACCCAUUCUUUAGAGGUACACACCGUUCCUGUCAGAGAGGCUAUCUUCCUAGUGCUAAAUGAUUUUUUGAUGCACUGAAAAUUAAAUUCACACUCAAAUUUCUGCAUUUGAGGAGAUUUUCCUGUACGCUGAGCUCUGUCAAAAGAGGUAUAUUGAAGAGAGGGUAGUUCUGGGACCAUUUGCAAGACAGCGCAUUGAUUGGAAGCCUAUACAUUCUGGAGUGUUGGCUUAAUAUGUUGAUCAUCCUUUGAGGUGGGGCACAAGGAAAAAUAAACUAUUUCUCCUUCAGGAACAUACAGUGGCAUAAGAGAGACCAACUUGGUGAUAACUGAUCAUAGGAUUAGACCAAGGUGCAGAAGCAAACAGAACCUCCAUAAAAUGUAAUGAUGUCUUGUGCCUGCAAUCCUAGUGCUUUCAGAGGCCAAGGUGGGAAGAUUCCUUGAGCUCAGGAGUUCGAGACCAGCCUGAACAACACAACAAGACCUCGUAUCUAUGAAAAAAUAAAAAUAAUAAAAUUAGCUGCACACCUAUUUGGUGGCACACACCUGUGGUCCCAGGUACUCGGGAGGCUGAGAUGAGAUCAUUUGAGCCCAGGAGAUCAAGGCUGCAAUCAGCUGUGAUCAUGCCACUGCCCUCCAGCCUGGACAACUGAGCGAGACCCUGUCUCCAAAAAAAGUAAAAUUAAAAAAAAAAUUAAAAUGUGAUGGAGUGCAGAGGAAAGGUCAGUUGAUUCUCACUAAGGGUUGGACUUCAUUGGUGAUUUUCUGUCUUUUUAAGAGUUAGAAACUCCUUUUUCAAAUGAAACGUGUAUGGACCUCCAAUGUCUUCAGCCAGGUCAGAGAUGUUUUGUUGGGGACGGGGGCUUCCAGCCCACUGAACACCCCUGUCCUGCCAUAGCCCCAGAGGUACCACCUUGGGCUCUGCCCAGUGCUGCUUCAACACCUCCAGAUGGGAGGAGAGGGACCUUUCCUUCCAGUUCUAACCCCCACAUCAGUCAAGGGAACCCUGUACAAAAUGCUGAGAAAGCCAAAGAAAGUCAGAGUGCAGGCAGCUUCUUGUGACUUACUGCGGGGGCUCCUUGUGUCUCCCCUCCUCCUGCCUGUUAGACUUCUCCUUGCUGGCUGGGCCCACGCGUGGAUGCACGGGUGCGGAGGAUGGGAACCCAGGAUCACUCAGCAACGUGCUUCUUGUCAGCUUCCUGCAAAGGGGAGAAAUCACGCGUCAACCAGAAGCUUUUAAGUGAAAAUCUGAGGACCUCCUACCUUCAUCCACCAGAAUGCUGCAGCUUUCAAAGUACUUUCUAGACAAUGUCAUUCAAGCUUGUGAUAAUCCCACUGGGUGGGAUGAGUGGGAGGUGUUAUUAUUUCACAGAUGAAAUUGAGGUUCGUUGGUGACUGAGCACCUCUUGUCACCUCACUGUCCCAUGUCCACAAUGGAGAUGCAGGAAAGGUGCUUUGAACUUUGGUCAGCACCUAGUAAGCCCUCAGUGCACGUUAGCACUGGUCAUUCGGUAGUGACCCAGGAGCUCAUCACUAGGAAGUGGCGGACUGGGAAGCAGAAUCAGACCUCCAAAUUCCCCCCAGGACCUGUCGCUCACUCUGCUAUUUGAGUGUCCAGCCCAGAAGCAUUUUCGGAUCUCCAAAAUAAAGUCAAAAGUGCUAGCAAUGCUUGGUGAAUUAAUAACAUGUGAUGUUGGCCAGGCACAGCGGCUCACGCCUAUAAUCCCAGCACUUUGGGAGGCCGAGGCGGGUGGAUCACGAAGUAAGGAGAUCGAGACCUUCUUGGCUAACACGGUGAAACCCCGUCUCUACUAAAAAUACAAAAAAUUAGCCGAGAAUGGCGUGAACCUGGGAGGCGGAGCUUGCAGUGAGCUGAGAUGGCACCACUGCAGUCCGGCCUGGGCGAAAGAGUGAGACUCCAUCUCAAAAAUUAAUUAAUUAAUUAAUUAAUUAAAAAAUAAAACAGGAGCACACAGCACGCUGCACUGUGGGGACCGCUGUCCUUUGGUCUGCAUGCUGCUCAUCGCAUCUGGGGGAGAGGACCCGAUAUCGUUUGUUUUUACGUCCGCGAACUUCACAUGGUGUUACCAUAGUUCUACAGGACAAGCCAUCAUUUCACAGUUUUCAUGCCUGACCUGCCUCCAGAGCUCUUGAAAACUUUGGAACCAAGAAUAUUUUUAUCAGCCAUCCUCCAGACUCACUCACGGGUUACCUGACCGCACUAAAUCCAAAAUGAGGGUAAAAAUCCCUGCUGCAAAUUCCUCCUGGCUUUGCCAUCUUGGCCAGUCAUUCCACCAAACCGAUUGUGCCUUGCAGAUAAAAGUCGUAAAACUGAAAGGCAAGUGGCAGAUGCAAACUGAUUUCCUAAUUGAUCCCUUGGUUCAACCUGCAUCUACAGGGAAGUUACUGUGUCUGGCACAGUGCUGGACACUGGGAUACAAACAAAGGGUGCAUCCAGGAGGUCCUUAAGAAGAAGCAGUCCCAGACUGUAGAAGCCUCCCAGAAGAAGAAGGGGGAGAAGUGUGUGAAUCAUGACUCUGAAGAGCAUGAAGAAAGAUGUCACCGCAGCUGGGGGAGUCUCCUCCCAGGUUUCCCAGCCCAGCUGCCUCACCUCUGGCCAGCAAGGUCCACUGCACACAGAGGUAACCACUGGAACAAGCAGCUGGAAACCUCAGCUUCUUUCCCUGUAGGCUCCAGGAGCUUCUAAUUCAUGUCUGUUGUCCACAUGCUGAGGCUUCUAUCCAUCCCUCAACCCCUGCUGCACAGGAAACCCUUCCUGCCUCUUCUCUGGCGUUGAGCCCCUGACUCUCCCAUCCAGCUUCCAGCUCAGCCCCACAUAUGUCUCUCUGUGUCUGUGUUUAUCACUGGUGAAUCUUCAGCAUUGGGGCUACCCUAUGCCAGCUCAAGGCCCAGCUGAGCCCGCCUGGCCCCCAACUUGCACCGUGGAGAUGGGGACUUGGUCACAGAGAUUAAAGUAGACACUGGGGGCAGAGAGGCCAGGGAUGGAAGGGAACUUAAAUAAGGCCACAGGUAAGUGGAUUCAUUUGCUUGGGCUGCUAUAAGACCCACAGACUGGGCAGCUUCACUAACAGGCAUUUAUCUGCCCACAGUUCUGGAGGCUAGAAGUCUGCAAUCGAGGGGUCAGCAGGGUGGAUUUCUUCUGAGGCCUCUGUUAAAUGGUAAACUGAGGCACCAUAAAAGUUGAGAUUUUAUUUGUUAAAACCCCAGUCCAAACAGCUUCAAGCCAGAAGUGGUUGGGUACACUACUGAGCAAACACAGACAAAGCCAGUUAGGCCUCAUAAGAGAUGUAGAUCUUGCUUGAUUUCCAAACAUAAGCAAAACUUAGCUUCAGCUGUUUCUUGUAAAUGGCUACAUUGAAGAACAAGGCCAGCCCAUUAGCCCUGAAACUAGGGACUUUUCAGCAGGAAAGACUAAAUAAAACAGCUAUACAAUUGUAAUCAAUCGCAUGUUUUCUUCGCUUUACUUGCGUGUGCACCCUAGGUUUAUCAUAAGGUUAAAUGUCAUGGCGAAUGUGAAAAAAGCCUUUUGGAAACGAUGUGUGUAAAUAUCAUUGCAGUCACCUUAUAAAAAGGAAGUUUGAGGAGAAAAGGGAAAGCAGCACUCUCUUACGCCCCAGGCAAAUCGUGGCUGAACCAAAUACAACCCUGCGAUGAGCAUUCCUGGUGCCCCACAGCUUCCCGCAGAUGGCAGAUGGUCCAUGCUGUGGGAGGAAGACUCGUGUGUGCAUAUAUAUGAGGCUGCCCUGACAGACCAGGCCAAUCCUGCUUCCCGGUGACUGUGGCUUCCUUGUCUCUAGGAGGCCUCGGUUCAAUUAACUUAGCAGAUGUUUAUGAGGCACUGAAUAUGUGUAGCCUAGAAGGUCCAUGAGAGAAUGAAGGGCCCUGGGUCUGAUUUAGGCAACCCCGUAUACCUAGCCCCUACGACACAUCUGUGUGGCACCAACAUAGCCUCCCAAUAAAUAUCUGAUUGACAGCAGACUAUCAGGCACUGGGCUAGGGACAAGGGUCAGAGUGCAGCAAAAGGCGACCAUCGCGUAGAUGCUAACCACUCACCGCAUGCACUUUGUUGAGAUAGAAGCAAAAUUCUCUAAGCACAGAGAAGAAUGUGAUUCAUUCUGCUCUGUCAUUAAGGGCAGGGAAGUGCUGCUCAGGGAUGGCCGUGGAAGCUGGGCCUUCCAGGACAGGUGAGAUUUUAACGUAAUGGCGAGCUAAAGAACAGGUGUUCCCAGCAGCAGCAGCAGCACACAAGAAAGCAUGCAAAUGAGGACAUGUGCGGGGGCAAUGUUUCCUGUGGCUGCUGGAAUAAACUGCGACUAACAUAGUUUAAAACAAUACAAGCGUAUUAUCUUACACUUCCUAGGGGAGGUCAGAAAUCUCACGGGCUCUGCUGGCUUCUGUGCUUCGUCUCUCAAGGCCAAAAUCAAGAUGUCAUCAGUGCUGAGCUCUGGUGCAGGAUCCACGUCCAGGCUCACUGGGGCUGCUGGCAGAAUUCAGCUGUGUGGGGUUGUAGGAAUGAAGUCCUUGUUUCCUUGCUGGCUGUUGGCCAGGGGCUGCCCUCAGCUUCUGGAGGCCGCCUGCCCUCCCUGGUUCAUGGCCCAUCUCAUCCUGACAGCCAGCACCCGCGGGAAGUCCCUCUUGCACUGUGACUCUCUCCCGCCUCUUCCAUUCUCUAUGGCUUGUCUGCCUCCCUCUUUCAUCUUUAAGAGUGCAUGUGAGUAUAUUGGACCUACCUGAAUCAGCCAGGCUAACCUCCCCAUUUUAAGGUCUGCAGCCUUAAUUCUACCUGCAAAGUCCCUUUUGCCAUGUAAUGUGCCAUAUUCACAGGUGUCAGGAAUCAGAGGGCAGGUAUAUUGGGGGACCAUUAUUCUGCCAACUACACAGGGCCUUAUAUGGUCUGGCUCUGUGUCCCCAUUCAAAUCUCAUCUUGAAUUGUAAUCCGAAUUGUAACCCCCACGUGUUGGGGGGAGGGACCUUGUGGGAGGUAAUUAAAUCAUGGGGGCGGUUACCCUCAUGCUGUUCUUGUGAUAGUGAGUGAGUUCUCACGAGAUCUGAAGGUUUUGCAAGGAGCUUUUCCCCCUUUUGCUCAGGACUCUCCUUCCUGCAGCCAAGUGAAGGACAAGUUUGCUUCCCCUUCCACAAUGAUUGUAAGUUUCUUGAGGCCUCUCCAGAACUAUGAGUCAAUUAAACCUCUUUCCUUUAUAAAUUACCUAGUCUUGUGUAUUUCUUCAUAGCGGCAUGAAAACGGA